UACGUAGGUGGCAAGCGUUGUCCGGAAUCAUUGGGCGUAAAGCGUGUGUAGGCGGCCAGAAAAGUCCGCUGUGAAAACUCGAGGCUCAACUUCGAGCUGUCGGUGGAAACUUUCUGGCUAGAGUCCGGAAGAGGAGAAUGGAAUUCCUGGUGUAGCGGUGAAAUGCGCAGAUAUCAGGAAGAACACCCGUGGCGAAGGCGGUUCUCUGGGACGGUACUGACGCUGAGACGCGAAAGCGUGGGGAGCGAACAGG
Molecule: ribosomal RNA, 253 nt
Filed under: uncultured bacterium
Lineage: Bacteria
Description: partial 16S ribosomal RNA
Rfam family: Bacterial small subunit ribosomal RNA
Source: RNAcentral